AACGAACGCUGGCGGCAUGCCUAACACAUGCAAGUCGAGCGGUAAGGCCCUUUCGGGGGUACACGAGCGGCGAACGGGUGAGUAACACGUGGGUGACCUGCCCUUAGCUCUGGGAUAAGCCUGGGAAACUGGGUCUAAUACCGGAUAUGACUCCAUGACGCAUGUUGUGGGGUGGAAAGCCUUGUGCGGCUGGGGAUGGGCCCGCGGCCUAUCAGCUUGUUGGUGGGGUGAUGGCCUACCAAGGCGA
This 247-nucleotide ribosomal RNA is filed under the name uncultured Actinomycetes bacterium. RNAcentral describes it as "uncultured actinobacterium partial 16S ribosomal RNA". It matches the Rfam family "Bacterial small subunit ribosomal RNA", at positions 29 to 276 of the family's 1533-position model. The record is from RNAcentral. Lineage: Bacteria; Bacillati; Actinomycetota; Actinomycetes.